This 466-nucleotide ribosomal RNA is filed under the name uncultured bacterium. Its description in RNAcentral is "partial 16S ribosomal RNA". It matches the Rfam family "Bacterial small subunit ribosomal RNA", at positions 28 to 507 of the family's 1533-position model. The record is from RNAcentral.
GAUGAACGCUGGCGGCGUGCUUAACACAUGCAAGUCGAACGAUGAAGCCCAGCUUGCUGGGUGGAUUAGUGGCGAACGGGUGAGUAACACGUGAGUAACCUGCCCUUAACUCUGGGAUAAGCCUGGGAAACUGGGUCUAAUACCGGAUAGGAGCGCCUACCGCAUGGUGGGUGUUGGAAAGAUUUAUCGGUUUUGGAUGGACUCGCGGCCUAUCAGCUUGUUGGUGAGGUAAUGGCUCACCAAGGCGACGACGGGUAGCCGGCCUGAGAGGGAGACCGGCCACACUGGGACUGAGACACGGCCCAGACUCCUACGGGAGGCAGCAGUGGGGAAUAUUGCACAAUGGGCGAAAGCCUGAUGCAGCGACGCCGCGUGAGGGAUGACGGCCUUCGGGUUGUAAACCUCUUUCAGUAGGGAAGAAGCGAAAGUGACGGUACCUGCAGAAGAAGCACCGGCUAACUACGUG